RNAcentral lists this ribosomal RNA (468 nucleotides) under uncultured bacterium. Its description in RNAcentral is "partial 16S ribosomal RNA". It matches the Rfam family "Bacterial small subunit ribosomal RNA", at positions 28 to 507 of the family's 1533-position model. The record is from RNAcentral.
GACGAACGCUGGCGGCGUGCUUAACACAUGCAAGUCGAACGGAAAGGCCCUGCUUUUGUGGGGUGCUCGAGUGGCGAACGGGUGAGUAACACGUGAGUAACCUGCCCUUGUCUUUGGGAUAACUUCAGGAAACUGGGGCUAAUACCGGGUAGGAGCUCCUGCUGCAUGGUGGGGGUUGGAAAGUUUCGGCGGUUGGGGAUGGACUCGCGGCUUAUCAGCUUGAUGGUGGAGUAGUGGCUUACCAAGGCUUUGACGGGUAGCCGGACUGAGAGGGUGACCGGGCACAUCGCGACUGAAGUACGACCCAGACGCCGACUGGAGGCAGCAGUGGGAAUUAUUACAAAAUGGGCGGAAGUCUGAUACAGCGACGUCGCGUGCGGGAUGACGGCCUUCGGGUUUUAAACCGCUUUCGCCUGGGACGAAGCGUGAGUGAAGUUAAUGGGUAAAGAAGCACCGGCUAACUACGUG